GCCUGUGUAGCUCAGUGGUAGAGCGCGCCUUUCGUAGAACGAGGGUGAGGUCGGGAGUUCAAUCCUCUCCGGAGGCA
Molecule: transfer RNA, 77 nt
Rfam family: tRNA
About the family: Transfer RNA (tRNA) molecules are approximately 80 nucleotides in length. Their secondary structure includes four short double-helical elements and three loops (D, anti-codon, and T loops). Further hydrogen bonds mediate the characteristic L-shaped molecular structure. tRNAs have two regions of fundamental functional importance: the anti-codon, which is responsible for specific mRNA codon recognition, and the 3' end, to which the tRNAs corresponding amino acid is attached (by aminoacyl-tRNA synthetases). tRNAs cope with the degeneracy of the genetic code in two manners: having more than one tRNA (with a specific anti-codon) for a particular amino acid; and 'wobble' base-pairing, i.e. permitting non-standard base-pairing at the 3rd anti-codon position.
Source: Rfam